RNAcentral lists this ribosomal RNA (254 nucleotides) under uncultured bacterium. Its description in RNAcentral is "partial 16S ribosomal RNA". It matches the Rfam family "Bacterial small subunit ribosomal RNA", at positions 524 to 776 of the family's 1533-position model. The record is from RNAcentral.
UACGUAGGGUGCAAGCGUUAUCCGGAAUUAUUGGGCGUAAAGAGCUCGUAGGCGGUUUGUCGCGUCUGCUGUGAAAACUGGGGCUCAACCCCCAGCCUGCAGUGGGUACGGGCAGACUAGAGUGCGGUAGGGGAGAUUGGAAUUCCUGGUGUAGCGGUGGAAUGCGCAGAUACUCGAGGAAGGACACCGAUGGCGAAGGCAGAUCUCUGGGCCGUAACUGACGCUGAGGAGCGAAAGUAUGGGGAGCGAACAGG